Long non-coding RNA from Tigriopus californicus, 304 nucleotides. RefSeq lists it as uncharacterized. Lineage: Eukaryota; Metazoa; Arthropoda; Copepoda; Harpacticoida; Harpacticidae. The transcript is spliced from 3 exons. The record is from RefSeq and is a predicted model, not a curated record.
UCAUAGCUUCUCUUAUAGUUUACCGAAAUUGUUUAUCUGUACUUGGGAUGGUGAUCUUCGUCAUUGGAGGAGCCGUGCCUGAGAGAGACAACCAAACCAACGUGCGACAGAAAAGGCUAUUCAGCAUCUUCAACAUCGUCACCUUUAAGAACGAGGCUUGUACAUCAACUGGGGCAGGAAAUGACGUUGGAACCUGUCUGACUUCCGGUGAAUGCACAUCCAAAGGUGGAUCUGCGUCCGGCAAUUGCGCCGCAGGCAAUUAUUGAUACAAUACUUAUUUUUCAAGCAUUAUGAAUAGAAACCG